This 2096-nucleotide long non-coding RNA is filed under the name Equus asinus (donkey). RNAcentral's name for it is "lncRNA (ENSEASG00005034644.1)". The record is from RNAcentral. Lineage: Eukaryota; Metazoa; Chordata; Mammalia; Perissodactyla; Equidae.
UUAUCUUCUAAGAUGCGAGUUCCACUUACUUAACCUCCCCCUCCAACCAGCCCUCAGUACCACCACUGAAACUACCAGGAUACAUAUCCACCACAAUAAGAAAGUAAAGGAGAAAAACUAGACAUGGGAUCCAACCCAAGAGAGAAGUGAAGUAUUUUCCUAGAACUACGGCAGUGGGAAAUUCCAGGAUGAUGCUUAUGUACCAGCCUAGAGAGCAACUAGUCUGGACUGGAGCAGAAAGAAGGCUUCAGGAGGGAUACCCCAAGACAAGAUCGAAACUGACAGAUUAUCUAGCCUGCAUUACCAUAUUGAGAGGGAUGUAGUUCUAACAGACCAUUUAAGGAAGAAAACCUAACAAACAAAAUAUAAGGCAAUGAUUAGGUCCCAAAAAAUUAAAGUGUGAUAAUAGUAUAUCAUAUAGCUUAAUUACAAAGAAAAUUUACAUCAUCAUGUAAACAUCAAUUAUUCACUUAAUCUAAAUGUUAUCUCAGGGAAGCUGGAACAGGAUAGUGAAGGGCCUCAGGAGAUGUAUAGUGUUCAUGACGAAUCUUAUAAUACUAUGUGACUUUUCAAACUAUGUAUAUGUUUGACUUUGAUAAAAAUUAAGAAAAAAUAUGGCUUUGCAAAAAACAUUCCAUCAUGUAUGAUUUUUCAGUGCUGUCUAAAAUGCCUAUACAAUUAUUGCUCCAACAAGUGACAGAACAACAGUUUUCAACUUUUUUUCCACUGGGAUACACAUGACAAGUGAUAUUUCCAUGUGAUAUAAUCCUAUGGAUGUUCCCAUUGUGCUAAACUUAACAUGAUGUUUCUCUCAUGCUUAAGAAAUUAUACCAGAAUACAAGUGACUAAGAAAGAGUAUUUUAGGAUAAAUUUGAACAGUGUUUAGUGUGUCAAGAGUUUAACAUUCACAAAUAUCCCUACUUCAGCUACUCUUAGUAAGUAGUUGACAUACCUCAGGACUGAUCUCAAUACACUCAUAUAUCAUAAUGUUGAGUUUGAGAACCGCUGGGGUACAACAGGAUUCCCAAAUUCAGAUGCCUACAACAGCCAGGUAGUAUGGUUUUGGCUUGCCUUUCACAACCAGAAAAGCAGCUAUCGUCCUUCAAAAAUAUCUCUCAGGGAGCAGGAUUUUUCUUCCAAACUCUGUGAGGUUUUACUCAAAGGUGUUGGCUAAGCCUCAGCCUUUGCAGUAACUGUGGUGGUAAUUGCUCCGACACCGAAAGAGUUUCAAUCUAUGGCCCUAUGUUGAUCCGGAUAUUUCACUUCCCAAAGUUGCUGAGUGUUUUGUUUGUCUGAAUUGAAAAAAAAAAGGAGAGAAUAUGGAAAGAAUCUUGACUCCCCUCUAUACCACUGAGAUCUGAACGACUUUACCUCACGGUAUGGGCAAGUCUAACCUCCUGAGAAGCCACUAGGAGGACAAUGCUGGUACCGCCACUUGAAGCACAAGGGCUGUGGAAAGACCAAGAGCUGCCGUCUCAAUUCAGGAGGAAUUAAGACAAAAGGAAAGAAGCCUAGAGACACUCUUCUCUACUUAGUAAUUCCUCUGGCUCCAGUAACACACAGGCGUCCAAUCUAGAAGCUCACAUGGUCCGCGUGGCAUUUCAGACUCACUCUUUAGAAGACGCCCUGCUAAUGCACACAGUGUGGAGGUGAGCCUGCAGCAUUAUAGCUGGUACUCGGCCUUGCUCUUGCUUUCUGGUUUACCUAAUGUCAAACUCAUCUUUUCAAGUUUUACUGUGACCAGACUUUGUUUAUGUUUGUUUUAUUUACUUUUUAAUUAUUAAUUUUGAAUUUUAUUUUGUGUGAGACCAAAAGGAAAGCCUUUCAUAACUGCCCCUUCCUUUAGGACUGGAGGAGCUAACAGGGUUGUGUUGCAACCAUGCUCAGUUGCUCUGAGGAGGGAGCUGGGGCAGAGAUAGCGCUUCAUACAUCUGGCAUUCUCACUUGCAUGGGCCAUUUGCAAAGUCUUGAGAGUGACCUUCGACCUUCGACCUUCCUAAUGCAAGGAACUAAAGUAUUUGUCAGCUUUUAAAAAUCAUUGUAAUCUAUUGUCAUUUCUUUUUAUUUUAAAUAAACACUGUUUACUUCAUCUUAAA